CAUGUACUCAGGUGAAUAAGAUGCUUGUGUGAUGUUACGUACUCUGAGUGGAUAUCCACACUGGGCAGGCUUGAAAAAUAUGCCUGGCCACAGUGGGAUUUGAACCUACAACCUUUGGAAUACUGGCCCAAUGCUCUGCCAACUGAGCUAUACAGUCGGGGCAGUUCGAGUAUGCGAUAUUUCGGAACUGAGUCUAGUUCCUUCGAUAUCAGUGUAAUCUAAUAACCAUGAUAUUUGUGAAUAUGAUGCUUGUGAUAUGUUACUCCGAGUGCAUAUCCACACCGGGCAAGCUUAAAAAUAUGCCAAGCCACAUUGGGAUUCAAACCGACCUGACCGCGUAGCUCAGUUGACAGAGCAUUGGCAUUUGGGCUAGUAUUCCAAAGGUUGUAGGUUCAAAUCCCACUGUGGCCAGGCAUAUUUUUCAAGCCUGCCCGGUGUGGAUAUACACUCAGAGUAACAUCACACAAGCAUCUCAUUUCAUCAAGUUCCUCCAGAUAUUCAUACACUUCCUGUGAAAGAGCCAAUUCCAAGUAUUUAAUCAUUUCUGGUCACUUCCUUUCUAUUUAUGAUUGGUUAGUUGCACAAACAACAAAGGUGAUUGGUGCAUUCAAACCAUUUAACAGGAAGUUUACAAUUAUACUAGGAAGUGUAUGAAUAUCUUGAGGAACUUAAUGAAAUGAAUUGGUUAGCCCGAGGUAAUGUAUUGAAUCAAUAUUUGAGGAACACUUCAAUUGGAACGACAGUGAAGAAUUAUUAAAAAAAAAUUUUAUUCAAAAAAAGAUUUUCCAAAAUAAUUAUAUAAUUACAUU
Molecule: long non-coding RNA, 809 nt
Filed under: Paramuricea clavata
Lineage: Eukaryota; Metazoa; Cnidaria; Anthozoa; Malacalcyonacea; Plexauridae
Rfam family: tRNA (bases 332-411)
Source: RNAcentral